RNAcentral lists this ribosomal RNA (900 nucleotides) under uncultured Acidobacteriota bacterium. RNAcentral's name for it is "bacterial SSU rRNA". It matches the Rfam family "Bacterial small subunit ribosomal RNA", at positions 8 to 918 of the family's 1533-position model. Lineage: Bacteria; Pseudomonadati; Acidobacteriota. The record is from RNAcentral.
AGAGUUUGAUAUGGCUCAGAAUCAACGCUGGCGGCGUGCCUCAGACAUGCAAGUCGAACGAUUAAACUUUCUUUCGGGAAAGAUAUAAAGUGGCGCACGGGUGAGUAACACGUAGGUAAUCUACCUUUGAGUGGGGAAUAACGUUCGGAAACGAACGCUAAUACCGCAUAAUGCAGCGGCACCGCAAGGUGACAGUUGUUAAAGGAGCAAUCCGCUUAAAGAGGAGCCUGCGGCAGAUUAGCUAGUUGGUAAGGUAACGGCUUACCAAGGCGACGAUCUGUAACCGACCUGAGAGGGUGGUCGGUCACACUGACACUGAAUAACGGGUCAGACUCCUACGGGAGGCAGCAGUCGGGAAUUUUGGGCAAUGGGCGAAAGCCUGACCCAGCAACGCCGCGUGAAGGAUGAAGUAUUUCGGUAUGUAAACUUCGAAAGAAUGGGAAGAAUCAAUGACGGUACCAUUUAUAAGGUCCGGCUAACUACGUGCCAGCAGCCGCGGUAAUACGUAGGGACCAAGCGUUGUUCGGAUUUACUGGGCGUAAAGGGCGCGUAGGCGGCAAAUCAAGUCAGCUGUGAAAUCUCCGAGCUUAACUCGGAACGGUCAGCUGAUACUGUUUUGCUAGAGUGCAGAAGGGGCAAUCGGAAUUCUUGGUGUAGCGGUGAAAUGCGUAGAUAUCAAGAGGAACACCUGAGGUGAAGACGGGUUGCUGGGCUGACACUGACGCUGAGGCGCGAAAGCUAGGGUAGCAAACGGGAUUAGAUACCCCGGUAGUCCUAGCCCUAAACGAUGAAUACUUGGUGUCUGGAGUAAUUUAAUUCUCCGGGUGCCGUCGCUAACGUUUUAAGUAUUCCGCCUGGGGAGUACGCACGCAAGUGUGAAACUCAAAUGAAUUGACGGGG